This 67-nucleotide transfer RNA is filed under the name Cephalcia infumata. RNAcentral describes it as "tRNA-Pro". The record is from RNAcentral. Lineage: Eukaryota; Metazoa; Arthropoda; Insecta; Hymenoptera; Pamphiliidae.
CAGAAAAUAGUUUAAUUAAAAUAUUAAUUUUGGAGAUUAAUGAUAAAUAUUAUAUAUUUUUUUCUGA